RNAcentral lists this ribosomal RNA (253 nucleotides) under uncultured bacterium. RNAcentral's name for it is "partial 16S ribosomal RNA". It matches the Rfam family "Bacterial small subunit ribosomal RNA", at positions 524 to 776 of the family's 1533-position model. The record is from RNAcentral.
UACGUAGGGCGCAAGCGUUGUCCGGAAUUAUUGGGCGUAAAGAGCUCGUAGGCGGCCUGUUGCGUCCGCUGUGAAAUCCCGGGGCUCAACCCCGGGCCUGCAGUGGAUACGGGCUGGCUAGAGGCAGGCAGGGGAGAACGGAAUUCCUGGUGUAGCGGUGAAAUGCGCAGAUAUCAGGAGGAACACCGAUGGCGAAGGCAGGUCUCUGGGCCGAUACUGACGCUGAGGAGCGAAAGCGUGGGGAGCGAACAGG